This 510-nucleotide ribosomal RNA is filed under the name uncultured archaeon. Its description in RNAcentral is "bacterial SSU rRNA". It matches the Rfam family "Bacterial small subunit ribosomal RNA", at positions 380 to 901 of the family's 1533-position model. The record is from RNAcentral.
ACUCUGACCAUUAACGCCNGNUGAGGGAUGAAGGCCUUCGGGUUGUAAACCUCUUUCAGCAGGAAAUAAGCGAAAGUGAAGGUACCUGCAGAAGAAGCACCGGCUAACUAUGUGCCAGCAGCCGCGGUAAUACAUAGGGUGCAAGCGUUGUCCGGAAUUAUUGGGCGUAAAGAGCUCGUAGGUGGUCGAUCACGUCGGAUGUGAAAAUCUGAGGCUUAACCUCAGACCUGCAUUCGAUACGGGUUGACUGGAGUGUGGUAGGGGAGACUGGAAUUCCUGGUGUAGCGGUGGAAUGCGCAGAUAUCAGGAGGAACACCGAUGGCGAAGGCAGGUCUCUGGGCCAUUACUGACACUGAGGAGCGAAAGCGUGGGGAGCGAACAGGAUUAGAUACCCUGGUAGUCCACGCCGUAAACGGUGGGCGCUAGUUGUGGGAACCUUCCACGGGUUUCUGCGACGCAGCUAACGCAUUAAGCGCCCCGACUGGGGAGUACGGUCGCAAGACUAAAAGU